Molecule: ribosomal RNA, 468 nt
Filed under: uncultured bacterium
Lineage: Bacteria
Description: partial 16S ribosomal RNA
Rfam family: Bacterial small subunit ribosomal RNA
Source: RNAcentral
GACGAACGCUGGCGGCGUGCUUAACACAUGCAAGUCGAACGGAAAGGCCCUGCUUUUGUGGGGUGCUCGAGUGGCGAACGGGUGAGUAACACGUGAGUAACCUGCCCUUGACUUUGGGAUAACUUCAGGAAACUGGGGCUAAUACCGGAUAGGAGCUCCUGCUGCAUGGUGUGGGUUGGAAAGUUUCGGCGGUUGGGGAUGGACUCGCGGCUUAUCAGCUUGUUGGUGGGGUAGUGGCUUACCAAGGCUUUGACGGGUAGCCGGCCUGAGCGGGUGACCGGCCACAUUGGGACUGAGAUACGGCCCAGACUCCUACGGGAGGCAGCAGUGGGGAAUAUUGCACAAUGGGCGGAAGCCUGAUGCAGCAACGCCGCGUGCGGGAUGACGGCCUUCGGGUUGUAAACCGCUUUCGCCUGUGACGAAGCGUGAGUGACGGUAAUGGGUAAAGAAGCACCGGCUAACUACGUG